Molecule: transfer RNA, 68 nt
Filed under: Marmota monax (woodchuck)
Lineage: Eukaryota; Metazoa; Chordata; Mammalia; Rodentia; Sciuridae
Description: tRNA.Ser
Source: RNAcentral
GUUGUGGUUCAGUGGUAGAGUGCUUGCCUAGAAUGUUUGAGGCACUGGGUUCGAUUCUCAGCACCACG